RNAcentral lists this ribosomal RNA (1343 nucleotides) under uncultured bacterium. RNAcentral's name for it is "16S ribosomal RNA". It matches the Rfam family "Bacterial small subunit ribosomal RNA", at positions 28 to 1378 of the family's 1533-position model. The record is from RNAcentral.
GACGAACGCUGGCGGCGUGCUUAACACAUGCAAGUCUAACGGAAAGGCCCUGCUUUUGUGGGGUGCUCGAGUGGCGAACGGGUGAGUAACACGUGAGUAACCUGCCCUUGACUUUGGGAUAACUUCAGGAAACUGGGGCUAAUACCGGAUAGGAGCUCCUGCUGCAUGGUGGGGGUUGGAAAGUUUCGGCGGUUGGGGAUGGACUCGCGGCUUAUCAGCUUGUUGGUGGGGUAGUGGCUUACCAAGGCUUUGACGGGUAGCCGGCCUGAGAGGGUGACCGGCCACAUUGGGACUGAGAUACGGCCCAGACUCCUACGGGAGGCAGCAGUGGGGAAUAUUGCACAAUGGGCGGAAGCCUGAUGCAGCAACGCCGCGUGCGGGAUGACGGCCUUCGGGUUGUAAACCGCUUUCGCCUGUGACGAAGCGUGAGUGACGGUAAUGGGUAAAGAAGCACCGGCUAACUACGUGCCAGCAGCCGCGGUGAUACGUAGGGUGCGAGCGUUGUCCGGAUUUAUUGGGCGUAAAGGGCUCGUAGGUGGUUGAUCGCGUCGGAAGUGUAAUCUUGGGGCUUAACCCUGAGCGUGCUUUCGAUACGGGUUGACUUGAGGAAGGUAGGGGAGAAUGGAAUUCCUGGUGGAGCGGUGGAAUGCGCAGAUAUCAGGAGGAACACCAGUGGCGAAGGCGGUUCUCUGGGCCUUUCCUGACGCUGAGGAGCGAAAGCGUGGGGAGCGAACAGGCUUAGAUACCCUGGUAGUCCACGCUGUAAACGGUGGGUACUAGGUGUGGGGUCCAUUCCACGGGUUCCGUGCCGUAGCUAACGCUUUAAGUACCCCGCCUGGGGAGUACGGCCGCAAGGCUAAAACUCAAAGGAAUUGACGGGGCCCCGCACAAGCGGCGGAGCAUGCGGAUUAAUUCGAUGCAACGCGUAGAACCUUACCUGGGUUUGACAUGGAUCGGGAGUGCUCAGAGAUGGGUGUGCCUCUUUUGGGGUCGGUUCACAGGUGGUGCAUGGCUGUCGUCAGCUCGUGUCGUGAGAUGUUGGGUUAAGUCCCGCAACGAGCGCAACCCUUGUUCACUGUUGCCAGCACGUUAUGGUGGGGACUCAGUGGAGACCGCCGGGGUCAACUCGGAGGAAGGUGGGGAUGACGUCAAGUCAUCAUGCCCCUUAUGUCCAGGGCUUCACGCAUGCUACAAUGGCUGGUACAGAGAGUGGCGAGCCUGUGAGGGUGAGCGAAUCUCGGAAAGCCGGUCUCAGUUCGGAUUGGGGUCUGCAACUCGACCUCAUGAAGUCGGAGUCGCUAGUAAUCGCAGAUCAGCAACGCUGCGGUGAAUACGUUCCCGGG